ACCGUUAUUAGGGGGAGGGGUGGGAAGAGUUUCUGUUUGGGGUUUACAGCUCUACUCUGCCCUCUUGCACUCAGACACCACCUUUAAAACAUCCCAGCCCCAAGCCUAGUCAUGCCAGCAGGAAAAUGACCUCCUUACAUCCAGUCCUAUCAAAUUUGCAGAAAAAGUGCUUUGUUCAGCAAACCAUGUCCACUCGGAGAAUUCUUUAGCGCGACUCAGAUUCCAGCCUUUUUGAAGCAAAUCACAAGGCUAAAGAUUCUCUUCUCCUAAAUGACAUUCAACAACUUCACCACAACUUCCCCUUGCAAGAUGGCCCGCCUUGCACGGAGCUUUCUCUCUACCCUGAGAUAACAUGGAAGCUUUCCAACUGAAUCAGCGAGACGGAGAAAUGCACCACACCCCCUUGCCCACCCUCAACCUCACACUCCACACCCCGGCCACUAACUAGGGCCACCAGAGGUUUCAUUUUCUUUUCCUCUUAAAAGCAGCGCCUUAGUUGGCCACCUAGCAGUCCAACAGCAAAUACGAAAGUAUUGAGCGCUGCCUCACGACCACCCAGUCUGCAGAAGGAGGGGACCCGCCAGCUAAAUUUCUACAGAACCUGCUGCGCACAGGCAUGUCAUGCUGGAGAUGUCACAGAACCCCAGAGGCCCAGGCUUCUGCUGCUCUUCAGACUAAGGAGCUUCUGAAUGUAGAAGUGUUAACCACGAGCUCUGUGUCAAUGCAAACAGGGUUUCACUAUGCUGAUCAGACCAGACUUGAGCUCAUGAUCCUCCUGGCUCAGCCUCCCUGAAUCACUGGGAUUACAGGUGCACACCAUUGUACUGGACUCAGGUCUUUGUUUAAACAAUUGGGUGGUUUCUCCAAUUAACAGGCAGCAAGUCUCUGGAUUCAUUGUGAUGCUUUUAACUCACCCUUGCAGUGAA
This is a long non-coding RNA of Tupaia belangeri chinensis (Chinese tree shrew), 926 nucleotides long. RefSeq lists it as uncharacterized. The transcript has 3 exons. The record is from RefSeq and is a predicted model, not a curated record. Lineage: Eukaryota; Metazoa; Chordata; Mammalia; Scandentia; Tupaiidae.